UACGUAGGGUGCGAGCGUUGUCCGGAAUUACUGGGCGUAAAGAGCUCGUAGGUGGUUUGUCGCGUUGUUCGUGAAAACUCACAGCUCAACUGUGGGCGUGCGGGCGAUACGGGCAGACUGGAGUACUGCAGGGGAGACUGGAAUUCACGGUGUAGCAGUGAAAUGCGUAGAUAUCGUGAGGAAGACCAGUGGCGAAGGCGGGUCUCUGGACAGUUCUGACACUGAGGCACGAAGGCCAGGGGAGCAAACGGG
This 252-nucleotide ribosomal RNA is filed under the name uncultured bacterium. Its description in RNAcentral is "partial 16S ribosomal RNA". It matches the Rfam family "Bacterial small subunit ribosomal RNA", at positions 524 to 776 of the family's 1533-position model. The record is from RNAcentral.